This 400-nucleotide ribosomal RNA is filed under the name Shigella sonnei. RNAcentral describes it as "partial 23S ribosomal RNA". It matches the Rfam family "Bacterial large subunit ribosomal RNA", at positions 2211 to 2610 of the family's 2925-position model. Lineage: Bacteria; Pseudomonadati; Pseudomonadota; Gammaproteobacteria; Enterobacterales; Enterobacteriaceae. The record is from RNAcentral. RNAcentral also lists the same sequence under 1 other name.
UGUUUGAUGUUCUAACGUGGACCCGUGAUCCGGGUUGCGGACAGUGUCUGGUGGGUAGUUUGACUGGGGCGGUCUCCUCCUAAAGAGUAACGGAGGAGCACGAAGGUUGGCUAAUCCUGGUCGGACAUCAGGAGGUUAGUGCAAUGGCAUAAGCCAGCUUGACUGCGAGCGUGACGGCGCGAGCAGGUGCGAAAGCAGGUCAUAGUGAUCCGGUGGUUCUGAAUGGAAGGGCCAUCGCUCAACGGAUAAAAGGUACUCCGGGGAUAACAGGCUGAUACCGCCCAAGAGUUCAUAUCGACGGCGGUGUUUGGCACCUCGAUGUCGGCUCAUCACAUCCUGGGGCUGAAGUAGGUCCCAAGGGUAUGGCUGUUCGCCAUUUAAAGUGGUACGCGAGCUGGGU